Molecule: long non-coding RNA, 2659 nt
Filed under: Diabrotica virgifera virgifera (western corn rootworm)
Lineage: Eukaryota; Metazoa; Arthropoda; Insecta; Coleoptera; Chrysomelidae
Description: uncharacterized LOC126884261
Source: RNAcentral
GCAAGUCUCGUAAAUUUCACGAUUGCGAGCCACGCUUCACGCAACCGUGUUUGCGUACUUGUGUUUCGAGUUGCGUGGUCGUGCGAAGGUGCGAAGUUAUGUGGUUUCAAAAUUAAAUCAAUAUGGCUACUGGGUGUAAAAGAUAAAUCUUAUUCUAUCUGUUCUUAAUGAGUUUUAGAUAAUUUUAGUUGUAUUUCUUUGUAAUUUUGUGUUGUACAAAGAUUAAUUUAACAUUUUCUCUGGAAGUAUUAAUUUAGAAAGAUAAUAUGCUUCAUUGGUGUUGUGUUUUGAAGUGUGAAAUGUGAUAAAGUCAAGAUAAAGUUCACUUUUAAACUGAACUAAAUAAGGUAUCUGAGAGACAACAAUGGUUAAAUGCAAUACAAUGUACGGGUUUUACUAGCGAAAUGAAAAUUUCCCUGUCCUGUCUGCUGUAAUCAUUUUAUAUCUGGAAAACCAGCCGACUUAAUCGAUAAUAGCAAUCUCCAGAUUGGGUUCCUUCAAUAAAUAUGGUCUAUAAACACAAUGAAAUAAGUUCCCCAAAAUCUAAAAUGGAGUGGUAUCAAAGGAGAAUUAAAGGGAAAAAUAUUCAUAUUGAAAUUAUUUAUAAGGCACUGGACUGUCUUAAAUUCUACAAUAAUACUAGGUGGGUAAAUGAUUUUAGACAUUUUUCAUUAAGAGUAGAUUAAGAUUAAGUAGAUUUUCAUUCAGUAGAUUUAAGACUUGUUUACACGGGUAGAGUAAUGAUGCAAGUACUUGAUAGAGUAGAGUAACUCUACCUGUAAAAAUUAUAAGCACAGUAGAAUAGCUGGUAGAGUGUAUAGUUGGAGUUAAAGUAGAGUGACUAGCAACCUAUGGCAAAGUAACUACUCUAUGACCACCACUACUGCCAAAAUGUCUACUCGGCUGCACACUCUACCCAUGGAACACGCUCAAUUAUGGCAGAAUAGAGUAGGUAGGAGAGUACAUGGGGGUGCUGUCAUUCUGGCUGGAAUUGUGUUUUGUGUAAAUAGUGAAAAUGAAGUUCACCGAAGAUGAAACUUUAAAACUUGUAGAGCUAUAAUACAGCAAAUACCAGUGUUUAUGGAAUUUAGGUAGUGUAUGCUACAGAAAUAAAAGUUUGCAGCAAGCUGCGGAGGAUGAAAUCGUCGAAAGAAUGGCAAAGGGGGCUUUGGAGUAAACGAGCUUCAGCAAAAAAUUAAGAAUUUAAGGUGCACUUAUAAUCAAGAGUGUUUAAAAAUACAAAAAUCGGUUUCACUAUACUAGCAUCAGUACUAUACUUGUACUCUCCUCAUGUGAAUGGUAUCAAGCCAUUUUUGGUAGAGUACUACCACUACUCUACUCUCCUCAAAACUCUACCCAUGUAAACAAGUCUUUAGAAACAGUGGAAAAUGAGGUAGCUAGUAGAGUAGUAGUAGAGUAAAAUAUACUGGUUUAGCAAAUUACUAUGUUUUAAGGUAAUACAGUAGCGAUAAACAGGUAGCCAAAACGUGUUCCAAGAUUGUCACUGUAAUUUUGAAUAUUUUUUUGGGGGAUUUGGCACACGUAUUCGUAAAAUAAUAAAGAAUGGCGGUACAGAGCCCAAUUUGAAAAAUAUAUUAAUAUGUGGAAAUUACUCUGUAAUUAUACAAUAUUUAAAAAACGAGCCUGUACCGCCAUUAAGAAGAACAAAAAAAUACACUUUCUUCAAAUAAACUUUUUUAUCCAAUGCCUAGAUUUUGUGUAAUUUUGGAACUACUAAUGAAAUAAAAAAUUUUAGUAGUUCCAAAAUAACACAAAAUCGGAUAAAAAAGUUGUAUUUGAAAAAAGUGUAUUUUUUUGUUCUUCUUAAUGGCGGUACAAGCUCGUUUUUUUAUAUUGUAUUUAAUUACAGAGUAAUUUCCACAUAUUAAUAUAUUUUUCAAAUUGGGCUCUGUACUGCCAUUCUUUAUUAUAUUACGAAUAUGUGUGCCAAAUAUCUUGAAAAAAUAUUCAAAAUUACAGCCGCAAUCUUGGAACACAUUUUCGCUACCUGUUGAUCGAUACUGUUUCCUCUUAAGAUAGUUUUAAUAGUUAUUUAUGAUAUAAGUAUUAAAAGUACAAUUUUAAGACGCGCAUGUGAAAGUUAACUUGAAAAAAUAAUUAAUUAUUUAUAUGGGAAAUAAGCCACAAUUAAAAUGAAAAAAAUAAUUUUAUUAAUGUUUUGACUUCCACAUCAGAUGUCAUUGUCAAAAUACAAAAUAUUCAUUAUUAUUAGGUUUGUUCUAGCAAACAGUCAAACUAGUCAAAAACUAUCAGCAAACAGUUGGUCAGUAAAAGAACAUAAUACAGUCACCAGUGCGAUCCCCUCUACUCGCGCUGGUCCACUAUUCGCUGAUGGUUUCAAACUGAUGCUAGAACAAACCUAUUAUUAUUAUGCAUAUCAUUAUCUGUAAAUAAUAUUUCUUCUGAUUGUUAAUUGUAAAGGAUAGAAAAAUUACCAUUUAUUUUAUUUUUUUUAGAAUCAGCUGAGAGAAGUGGUCUACAAAAAACCAGGAAGGAAACGGAAUAUGUGGCUACGAAAGGCAAAAGAAAGGUUUACAAAGCAAAUGUGACACAUCUUUUUGAAAUAUUUAGGAAUAUCAGUAAAUUGCAUUGAAAAAAUGUAUGAAAAGAUUUUGUUCAAUAAAAAUGUUUAUAUUUA